This 157-nucleotide ribosomal RNA is filed under the name Ceratocystis adelpha. RNAcentral's name for it is "5.8S ribosomal RNA". It matches the Rfam family "5.8S ribosomal RNA". Rfam says of the family: 5.8S ribosomal RNA (5.8S rRNA) is a component of the large subunit of the eukaryotic ribosome. It is transcribed by RNA polymerase I as part of the 45S precursor that also contains 18S and 28S rRNA. Functionally, it is thought that 5.8S rRNA may be involved in ribosome translocation. Lineage: Eukaryota; Fungi; Ascomycota; Sordariomycetes; Microascales; Ceratocystidaceae. The record is from RNAcentral.
AAACUUUCAACAACGGAUCUCUUGGCUCUAGCAUCGAUGAAGAACGCAGCGAAAUGCGAUAAGUAAUGUGAAUUGCAAAAUUCAGUGAAUCAUCGAAUCUUUGAACGCACAUUGCGCCUGGCAGUAUUCUGCCAGGCAUGCCUGUCCAAGCGUCAUU